Molecule: long non-coding RNA, 2529 nt
Filed under: Gallus gallus (chicken)
Lineage: Eukaryota; Metazoa; Chordata; Aves; Galliformes; Phasianidae
Description: lncRNA (ENSGALG00010025191.1)
Source: RNAcentral
AGAAUCCAAGCUGCUAAACGAGGGAGAGGGCAGUGAGCAAACAACUGCAUGGUGUUCAGCUGCCUGCCGAGUUAAAGCACAGCAAUAAUAGCGGGGGGAAAAGAAGUACCUGACGAGAGAAAGACCCAACUAUGGAUGGCAGAAGGGGAAGUGAAGAUGGCAGAAGUGUGGGAAACCUCACAGCCAGUCAAAGCCAACAACACUGAAUUAAGAUGUCGUUAUCAGCCAUCUGUUCCUGGUCCUGCUCUCAAUUUCUUCCAUCAAAGAAAUAAUUCCAGACAUGAAACACCUCAUUGGAGCAACAAUCACCUGAAACUGCCAGAGUGCUGCAAUGCAACAGUGGGCCUGGCUUGCAGGGAGCAAUUGAAGGAACUUUUUCCGAUAUGCUGGUGUCACCAUAUACAGCAGGUGGGAAGCAAGACUCAGAAUGAGAAGGCUGUGAAGUUCUGCUGGCCCCACUGUUGGUGACACCUCUGCCUAACUCCUAAUGGAUGCACUGAGCCCCCAGACCACAGAUCUCUCAUGGGAGAAGGUGAAGAGCAGCCCUCCCUCAAUGUUGCUCUUACAGGGCUUCUCAGAUCCCUUGUCCCACAACCUGCAACCCAAGGCUGGGAUUUACAUCGUGUCACCUGCUGAAUCCUUGGGGAGAACAGCUCAUCUCAAACAAUCUCAUCAAAACAGGAAAUUUUAAACAUAUCAAAUGGGAACAAAAGAACACUUCUGAGGAUCGUACACCCUUGGGAUACUCACAUACUGGCGGUCCAAAACUGCUCUGUGAACAGUGUUUAAAAGUGUUUUGGGACAUUUUUGGCAGUAGCAUUAUUUUUCUUUUGAGAAUGACUUUCUGACAAUGCUUUUGCUCAAUUCUCCACUUUUCAGUAACAAACCUUUUCUUAGAGAAGUCAAAUUUUUUUAUCAUACUUAAUGUACAUAACAGAUUUAGAAAUAACCAACCAGAGGAAAUGCACACAUACCUUUGAAGUACUGACAUUCUGUAAGCCCAAAUUCCCAAGCACUAAAAGAUGUACAUGCUAGAAGGUUGGGUUUGCCCACUAAAAUCUGAACAUUUCUGGUAUUGCAUCUAAUCCAAUAAUCACACUUGUACAGUGUCGCUCUUACACUGUACAGAAUGUACAGAACAAGUCCAGGUAAAUGAGGAACAGCAGUGAUCUUGGCUUUACUGAUCAGCUAACACCAACCAGUGGCCUAGGAAGCCCAAGAAUGCCAGGAUAAGCUUAGCACUAACACAGCAUUUACUACACUUAAAUGUCCAGUGACCAAACAAAGUAUUUCAAAUCUAAUUCUACUCCUGUGAGACUAAUUGUGCUUUCCUUGAGAUGCAUUAUUUUGAUGUCUUCUGUGUCUCUAAAUAGGGAUAUUUUCAUUGAUAUUUAAAAAAAAUACACUGAAGCUACUUAAUCCUCAAAUCCCUUCAGUUUCUCACUGUAAGAAUAUCACAAGGAAAAUUAAGAACACUGAUUUGAUAACAAAAACAGGGACACAUUGAAAUUAGGGUGGAAACUACUGUGUCAUUUCACUGCUCUGGAGAUUAACAUACAAAAUCAAAAGCUCCAGAUGCAACUAACAGUGCGAAUGGAAUCGCUUGAAUUCACACCCUUUCAGAUACGUACAGCUGCUUUUGGUCUCCUUGUGGGCACAGAGGGAUGAGAAGUCAAAGCAAAGCACACCUGAACAGUAUCCAGCGAAUGAGAUUUCUGGCUGUUGAAACCCUCUGUGAGCUUGUAAGCCCUGAUUACCAGUUCCGCUUCUCAAAUGAAAAGCUCUAAGUGCUAUUUAUUUAUGGAUUCCUCUGAAUGCCAGCAAAGCUAUGUCUUACUUUGAGUCCUGACUUGCAUUAACUCUCACUUGUUUGUAGAUAUUCUUCUGUUCACUGUCACACCAGAUCUUUGCACAAUAGGUGGACCCUAAACAACAGUAUUUUCAACCAUAUGAACGUAUUUCAAAGUAUAGACCUCACCUUAGAUCUCGAGGGAGGAUCAAGGUGACUGACAAAUACGCACUUAAAGCAUCUGUCAGUUCCAAUGACCCAAGUUUGAACUGGAGCAAAGCUGUUGUUGUAGCACUCAAGUGAAGGUGUUAAAAAGAUCAUUGUCUAUGUAACAGUUUCUCUUAAGGAAACUGUAUAUAACAUAGCAACUUCCAGGCUGAUCCAUGAAAGUCAAGCACCAUUACUGCUGCACCAUACUCUGCCAAUCAGUAUUGACUGCACAAUGAUAGACCAUUCCAUACGUCAGCUCAAAAGACUGCACUCCAAAUGAGAUAAAAGUGCAUUACUUUCUCACUUACUAAGUUGCACUGCACAGCUGCAGUGGGCCUAUUCUAGGUAGCCAGAAUAAUUUAAAUUUCCAGAAGAAAACGAAAAUGAUUUCUUUUGCCUACUGAGAGAUUCUCGAUUUUUGUUACAGUGUUAGAAGAUACAGUGCUACCAGAUACACCAUUCCAGAUCCUGCUUUGUUCCAAAGAACUUGAUCAUUACAUAUAUUUCACAACAAAUAAACCAGUAUGUCU